RNAcentral lists this ribosomal RNA (475 nucleotides) under uncultured soil bacterium. RNAcentral describes it as "bacterial SSU rRNA". It matches the Rfam family "Bacterial small subunit ribosomal RNA", at positions 26 to 530 of the family's 1533-position model. The record is from RNAcentral.
AGAUUGAACGCUGGCGGCAUGCCUUACACAUGCAAGUCGAACGGCAGCACGGACUUCGGUCUGGUGGCGAGUGGCGAGCGGGUGAGUAAUAUAUCGGAACGUACCCUGGAGUGGGGGAUAACGCAGCGAAAGUUGCGCUAAUACCGCAUACGAUCUACGGAUGAAAGUGGGGGAUUCGCAAGAACCUCAUGCUCGUGGAGCGGCCGAUAUCUGAUUAGCUAGUUGGUAGGUAAAAGCCUACCAAGGCAUCGAUUAGUAGCUGGUCUGAGAGGACGACCAGCCACACUGGGACUGAGACACGGCCCAGACUCCUACGGGAGGCAGCAGUGGGGAAUUUUGGACAAGUGGGGGCAACCCUGAUCCAGCAAUGCCGCGUGAGUAGAAGAAGGCCGUUCGGUUGUAAAGCUUCUUUUGUCGAGGGUAAGAAACGGUAGAAGGACUAAUAAUCCUUUAGCUAAUAGACGGUAACUAGAAG